GGCAGUGUAGCGUAAUGGGUAAGGAGCUGGUCUUGUAACCUAAAGGUCACGGGUUCGACUCCCAGGUAGGACGCUGUCG
RNAcentral lists this transfer RNA (79 nucleotides) under Anguilla anguilla (European eel). RNAcentral describes it as "tRNA-OTHER". The record is from RNAcentral. Lineage: Eukaryota; Metazoa; Chordata; Actinopteri; Anguilliformes; Anguillidae.